CCUACGGGUGGCUGCAGUGAGGAAUAUUGGUCAAUGGGCGCAAGCCUGAUCCAGCCAAGUAGCGUGAAGGAUGACUGCCCUACGGGUUGUAAACUUCUUUUGUAAGGGAAUAAAGUAAGGCACGUGUGCCUUUUUGUAUGUACUUUAUGAAUAAGGAUCGGCUAACUCCGUGACAGCAGCCGCGGUAAUACGGAGAAUCCGAGCGUUAUCCGGAUUUAUUGGGUUUAAAGGGAGCGUAGAUGGUUUGUUAAGUCAGUUGUGAAAGGUUGCGGCUCAACCGUAAAACUGCAAUUGAUACUGGCAGUCUAGAGUACAGUUGAGGUAGGCGGAAUUCGGGGUGUAGCGGUGAAAUGCUUAGAUAUCACGAAGAACUCCGAUUGCGAAGGCAGCUUACUAAACUGCAACUGACAUUGAGGCUCGAAAGUGUGGGUAGCAAACAGGAUUAGAUACCCCGGUAGUC
RNAcentral lists this ribosomal RNA (460 nucleotides) under uncultured bacterium. RNAcentral describes it as "partial 16S ribosomal RNA". It matches the Rfam family "Bacterial small subunit ribosomal RNA", at positions 338 to 795 of the family's 1533-position model. The record is from RNAcentral.